GACGAACGCUGGCGGCGUGCCUAAUACAUGCAAGUAGAACGCUGAAGAGAGGCGCUUGCUCUUCUUGGAUGAGUUGCGAACGGGUGAGUAACGCGUAGGUAACCUGCCUUGUAGCGGGGGAUCACUAUUGGAAACGAUAGCUAAUACCGCAUAACAAUGGAUGACACAUGUCAUUUAUUUGAAAGGGGCAAUUGCUCCACUACCAGAUGGACCUGCGUUGUAUUAGCUAGUAGGUGAGGUAAUGGCUCACCUAGGCGACGAUACAUAGCCGACCUGAGAGGGUGAGCGGCCACACUGGGACGGAGACACGGCCCAGACUCCUACGGGAGGCAGCAGUAGGGAAUCGUCGGCAAUGGGGGCAACCCUGACCGAGCAACGCCGCGUGAGUGAAGAAGGUUUUCGGAUCGUAAAGCUCUGUUGUAAGUCAAGAACGGGUGUGAGAGUGGAAAGUUCACACUGUGACGGUAGCGUACCAGAAAGGGACGGCUAACUACGUG
RNAcentral lists this ribosomal RNA (497 nucleotides) under uncultured bacterium. RNAcentral describes it as "partial 16S ribosomal RNA". It matches the Rfam family "Bacterial small subunit ribosomal RNA", at positions 28 to 507 of the family's 1533-position model. The record is from RNAcentral.